AGAGGGAUCCCUGGGGGGAGAACGUGGGCUGGGGGACCCGCAGGGGAGAGGGCAGGCCACCGGGACCUCUGCCAGGAGUAAGUGGGCCAGGGAGACCCCCUGUGGGGGAGGAUGGAUGAAGAACCGAGUCAGCACAAGGUGGUCCAGGGAACGGGGGAAUGCAUGGGAAGGGGGGCACCACGAAAGAAAGUGAUCUGAGGACACAGGGGUAGGCAGGCCCCCGAGACCCCCGGGUGUGGGAUGAGACCCUCAGGAUGUCCUUCCCGUUCAGACGGCCAAGAAACAACUACUUGGCUCCAACUGUCUUCUUACCCAGCAGAGGGACAGGGGGCAGCUGGGGUUUUCUCUUGCUUUUCCUCCCUCCUCCUUUUUGGGCUGGGUACAGCCAGCCAUCCCGACCAGGAUCCUUGACUCUCCUGACUCUCAGCCCCCAGAGGAGGACAGAACUCAGGGGAGCCAGGAGUGCGCUGGCACAGGCAGCUCCGUGGAGGUGCUCCCAGCUCUUGAGCCAAAACGCAGCCCAGCGUGGCCAGCCGCCCAUCCCCAGCAGAUGACCCUGGACCACAGCUCAGCAGUGCCAGCGACGGGGCCUUAGCUGGAAGGCUCCAGCAUGAGGACCCCCUGCUCCACAGACAGGUACCCAGAUGGGUGCCAUUCUCCAGAACACGGAGGCGGAAGCUGCUUGGUCCCUCCCGAGGAGCUGGCCGGCUGGCGGGAGGGAGGAGCAGGCCGGGAGCUCAGACUUCCGGGGACCUGAGGCCAUUCCACCUGCUCUGCCCUCCCCGUCUGCACGUGUCCACUGCACCUGGAAGUGUCCGCAGACAUGCUUUCCUGUUACCCGAGGCUCCUCCGAGGCUGCGGGCCGACUACAGACUAAAGGACCUGCAUGUCGGUGAACUGCGGAGUUGGACCCUCUGUGACUGGCUUACUUCACCUGGCACGGUGUCCUCCAGGUUCAGCUGUGCUGUAACAGGUGUCAGGAUUCCUUGCUUUGAAAGACUCAGUACUGUUCCAUUCCGUGUAUAACCCACGUCUGAUUUGUCCAUUCAUUGCCGGAGGACUCUUGAGUUGUUCCCAUCUUUCGGCUGUUGUGAGUAAUGCUGCUAUGAAUGUGGGUGUGCAAAUAUCUGUUCGUGUCCCUACUUUUACUUCUGUGUGUAUACGCAGAACUGGGAUCGGUGAACCAUGGGGUAGCUGUAUUUCUAACAUUUUGAGAACCCUCCACACUGUUUUCCAGGGUGGCUGCACGUUGGUUUGCUUUCCCACCAACGUGCACAAGGGUUCUAGUUUCGCCAUAUCCUCACCAACCUUGUUUUCUGGUUGUGUAUGUGCGUGUUCAUUGUAGCUGUCCUAAGGUGGGGCUCACUGUGAGUUUUGUUGUUUUUUAAAUUUUGAAGUAAAGAUUUUUAUUUUGAUUCAAUAUAAUGCUAGCUUUUGAUGGCAAAAACUUGUUUUCAGUGCCACUCCCUGAUCAUUAUGGGUUUGAUUUACAUUUUAAAUGUUGGGCCAUCUGUAUGUUUUCUUUGGAGCAAUGUCCAUUUGAGGACUUCCCUCAUUUUUUAUUUUGGCUGGGUUUUUUUUGUUGUUGUUGACUUGUAGGUGGUCUUUAUAUAUUCUGAAUAUUAACCCCUAAUCAAAGAGACGAUUUGUAAAUGUUUCCUUGCGUUCUAGCAGUUGUCUUUGCACUCUGUUGAUCAGUUGUGUCCUUUGCCGCACAAACAUUUUUAAUUUUGAGGAAAUCCAGUUCAACUCUUUUUUUCUU
RNA transcript from Mustela lutreola (European mink), 1762 nucleotides. It is a transcript of the gene named putative polyketide hydroxylase, with no coding region annotated. The transcript is spliced from 4 exons. Lineage: Eukaryota; Metazoa; Chordata; Mammalia; Carnivora; Mustelidae. The record is from RefSeq and is a predicted model, not a curated record.